Long non-coding RNA from Panicum virgatum (switchgrass), 1047 nucleotides. RefSeq lists it as uncharacterized. NCBI's taxonomy places the organism in Eukaryota, Viridiplantae, Streptophyta, Magnoliopsida, Poales, Poaceae. The transcript has 2 exons. The record is from RefSeq and is a predicted model, not a curated record.
UCUAACAGGUAGCCAGCGAGCUCGGCGGGAGCUCCGCCGCGUGCGUGCAGCUCCGUCGCCGUGUGUGCAGUGGGCUGGAGCUGCUGGGCUCCUUCCUCGACGACGAAUCGAGGUCUGCUGCUGCGGAAUCAAGAUUCCGCACAGUCAAAUCGAGCUCUGCUCUGCCGACCCGGUGUAGCAAUUGUUCGGACAAGGUGAAACUAUUGAGAGUGCAAUAACUUUUUUCCUCCUCUCUAAGGUAAGAUAGUUAUAUCUUUUUUUUUCUGCUAUCUUUGUUGUCCUUCUCAAAUUUGGAUUAGGCCUUCUACCUUGUAAUUAAAUCCAUGCUAUGAAUUAGUGGUGUCUGCAUUCAUCUUAUCAUUUGUCUGAUCUAUCAUGUGAUUGAUAUAUUUAUCUUUCCAAUGAUUGUGUUAUUUCUGAUAUUUUGGACUAAAACUAUGUUGUGCAGAAAUUUGUGUCCUAAUCUCUUUGUAAGCAGAAUUUCAGAUUUUCAGCUCCUCUGGUAAUGUUCUCUUGUUUGUGAAUUUUUGUUCGGAAUUAUUUUAAGGUAAUUUGAGAUGUUAACUUAUUUUGCCCGUAACUAUCCGAUUGCCUCUUGGUUUACUUAUGAUUGGGAUUUGGAGAUGGUGGAAGGUGGAGUUUUGGGAAGAGUUUAUGACUUUCUCUAGGCGAAGAUAAUGAGUUGUGCUAUGCUUGCAGUAAUAUAUGAUAGGGAAAGAGGUGCUUGCAUUCAUGGUUGAUAAAGUAUCUUUCGUUUGUAGGGACAUUAAUAGUUUAAGCAAAUAGUAUAUCAUCUUAUUGACGCAGUUUUCAUGGUUUAUAGAAUUUUUGCAGAGCAAUUGAUACUUAAAUUGUACAGAUGUUGUUUAUUGGAGGAAACAAUGUUUCUAUGGGAAGUUUCAAGACAAGAUAGUGGCAGGUGCAAGAUGCCCCUCUCUCCUUAUCAUUGCUUAAGUUGUUCUCUGUAUAAUAAGAACUGAGUGUUAAUAGAUCUGGCAUGAAGACUUUGAUUUGACCAAUCAAAUAGCACCUUCUUUCUUUUGGAUA